This 75-nucleotide transfer RNA is filed under the name Pseudomonadota bacterium. RNAcentral describes it as "tRNA-Leu". Lineage: Bacteria; Pseudomonadati; Pseudomonadota. The record is from RNAcentral.
GGCGCGGUAUCCCAAUGCAGAGGAAGCACGCUUAGAACGUGUUCAGUUGGAGUUCGAGUCUCCAUCGCGCUACCA